This 485-nucleotide ribosomal RNA is filed under the name uncultured soil bacterium. Its description in RNAcentral is "bacterial SSU rRNA". It matches the Rfam family "Bacterial small subunit ribosomal RNA", at positions 55 to 522 of the family's 1533-position model. The record is from RNAcentral.
AUGCAAGUCGAGCGAGAAAGUGGCUUCGGCCAUCAGUAAAGCGGCGGACGGGUGAGUAACACGUAGGUAAUCUUCCCUUGAGCGGGGGACAACGAGCCGAAAGGCUCGCUAAUACCGCAUACGUUUCUAGAGACUCUGGUCUUUAGAAGGAAAGCUAGGCCGCAAGGUCCGGCACUCGAGGAGGAGCCUGCGUCGCAUCAGCUAGUUGGUGGGGUAACGGCCUACCAAGGCGAAGACGCGUAGCUGGUCUGAGAGGAUGAUCAGCCACACUGGGACUGAGACACGGCCCAGACUCCUACGGGAGGCAGCAGUGGGGAAUAUUGGACAAUGGGCGCAAGCCUGAUCCAGCCACGCCGCGUGAGUGAUGAAGGCCUUCGGGUCGUAAAGCUCUGUGGGGAGGGACGAACCGCCGUUGGUUCAUAGCCAGCGGCAUGACGGUACCUCCUUAGCAAGCACCGGCUAACUUCGUGCCAGCAGCCGCGGUA